UAGGGAAAGUGGGGUGGGUAGGGGUUAGAGAGGCGAUUAGGGUUCGGGUGAGGGCUAAGGUCAAGAUGUAAAGCGGUUAGGCCGAAAGUAAAGGGAGUCACGAGCGGGGAGAGGUUUCGUGUAAGACUGGGUUGGGUUGAACGGUUCACCAGCUCGGGGAUGUGGUGCGCACGUGGUCUGUUACCUUGUUUCUCUCACGUGUUCCUCACGUGACUCGCGUUUCAGCUUUCAAGCCACUAUUUUACUCAAGUAAAUAAAAAUUGUAAAAUUUACUCUUUAUCUUGUGUUUACAUUAUUAAUUAUAACUUUCAAUGAUGAAAAAUAAUAUAUUACAUUUGGUGCAGGAUCACAAGGAAUCAAUUAAAGAAUUCAAGUAGCAAUAUCAGUCAGGAAUAAAUCAAGGAAAUAAUCUAUUUACGGGGCUCUAAUGUGGCGCAAGGAAAAGAAUCAAUGAUUAGCAAUCAAAAAGGAAGAAGUAGCGGAGAUCUGAAAGAAGAAUCAAUCAGUGAUUGACGGAAACCAUUGCUGGAAGGUCCCAAAUCAAAGGGAAACGAGACCGCAAAAUGAUACACUGAAAACCAAUGAAGCCAAAAAUCAAGGGAUCUAGCGGAUAUGCCUCAAGUAACAAAAAUAUAUGCCUAGCAGAUGGAAAGCUCGCCAAGACCAUAAAUCUAGGAAGAUCAACGAAAACUUGACAUAAAUCUAGGAAGAUCAACUCCCUUGAGUUUGCAAUCUCUCAAGAUUCACGUCAUGAAGGCCUCAUGGAAUGUAUAUAUACAUGCUCCGAACUUGAAGAAAGACAUACUUUGAACGAACUAUUUUCACUCCUUUUGUUCUACUCCAAACAAGCAUUAUUGUUCUUAAAGAUCUGUUGUGUAAUUAGUGAGAGAAGAAAAAGAGAUAAAUACUGGUGAGGCAUUGUAUCAAGAAGAGAAAAGAUAUAUCGAAAUUAAGUUGUUGGUGUAAAGCUACAUCAACCAUCAUGUACUCAAGAAACUUCGAUCACUCAAAGAGGUAAUUGAGUAUAUAUUAAUGGAUUGAUAUUAUUAUUGGCUAGCUUUGGAG
RNAcentral lists this long non-coding RNA (1065 nucleotides) under Nicotiana tabacum (common tobacco). RNAcentral's name for it is "long non-coding RNA (NTAB_LNC019601)". Lineage: Eukaryota; Viridiplantae; Streptophyta; Magnoliopsida; Solanales; Solanaceae. The record is from RNAcentral.